This 323-nucleotide unclassified non-coding RNA is filed under the name soil metagenome. Its description in RNAcentral is "partial contains 5.8S ribosomal RNA, internal transcribed spacer 2, and large subunit ribosomal RNA". The stretch from base 1 to 120 matches the Rfam family "5.8S ribosomal RNA", at positions 35 to 154 of the family's 154-position model. The record is from RNAcentral.
GAUGAAGAACGUAGCGAAAUGCGAUAAGUAAUGCGAAUUGCAGAAUUCAGUGAGUCAUCGAAUCUUUGAACGCACAUUGCGCCCUGUGGUAUUCCGCAGGGCAUGCCUGUUCGAGCGUCAUUUCAACCCUCAAGCCCUGCUUGGUGUUGGGCCCUGCCCGCUGCGGCCGGCCCUAAAGACAGUGGCGGUGCCGCCUGGCCCUGAGCGUAGUACAUCUCUCGCUCCAGUGCCCGGUGGUAGCCUGCCAGAACCCCAACUCUCGUGGUUGACCUCGGAUCAGGUAGGGAUACCCGCUGAACUUAAGCAUAUCAAUAAGCGGAGGA